Long non-coding RNA from Prionailurus viverrinus (fishing cat), 8665 nucleotides. RefSeq lists it as uncharacterized. NCBI's taxonomy places the organism in Eukaryota, Metazoa, Chordata, Mammalia, Carnivora, Felidae. The record is from RefSeq and is a predicted model, not a curated record. The transcript has 5 exons.
CCCUCUCUCUCUCUCCCCCUCUCUCUCUCCCCCCCCCUCUCUCUCUCUCUCCCCCCCCCCUUUCUCUCUCUCUCUCUCUCCCUCUCCCUCUCUCUCUCUCUCUCUCUCUCUCUCUCUCUCGGUGCUCAAGGCUUUGUGUCCAUGUUUGUUAGGGUUUGUGACUUUUUUGGCUGGAAAAAAAAUUUGCUGUUUUUGCACUGCUUCCUGGGGCUCCUCAUGAACUGAAGGAUGUGACCCAGGGUCAGUGCCGAUGACCGUGGCUUAAAGGAAAAGGAGCCGUCUUGGCAGGCUCCCCGGGGCGGUCUGGGGUCCUUUCACGUGGCUGCAGGGACCCACCGCCCGGUUCCCAGUGUGGUGGGCUCUCCUCGCCCGUCACUGGGGGACCUCCACAGCGGCUGCUCGCCAGUGUGGGAGCCACCCCGGCCCCUGGCACCAGCUGGGCGUGCACAGGGUGCUCCCGCCCCUUUACCCGGCUGACCGGAAGCGCAGGGGGUGGGGCUGUGCAGAGCUGCCUAGAAGUCAGGGAGGGCGCCAGGCCUGGGUCCCUGACCCGCAGGGCCCCAGCCUCCCAUGUUUUCCCGGGCCCGGGCUUCCGCUCUUGCUGACCUCGGGGCACGUGGGGAGGUCUCUAAAGGCCCCGCUUCCAAGUUCAGGGCUUCGAGGGGGAUCGGGGAAGAAACUAUUUGCAAGGCUCAACUAAAACCAUUCACGGCUUUCCUACACAUAGACUAGUCGUUUUUGUCUCCAAAACCUUCGGCUUUUGUAUUUUUUUAAUUACACUGUUAUCCUUGAUUAUUGUCUUUUUUAUUGAGUUGUUGGAGAAGCAGGAGAUAGUCGUGCCUCAUUCUGUUAUUGCAAAAACGUAACAAUAAACUUCCUCAAAAUAAGGUCUUUUCUCCGUGGUUACGCUGUUUACCUAGAAGGACACGUGUAGGUUUUUCCCUGAAACACUCCUCUGUCUGUAGAGAAAGGGUCUUAAAAGAUAAUGUGUUCUAACCUAUGUAAUUUAUAGAGAUGUCUAGUAUUCCUGCUCUUGUAACUUUAGUUACUUCUGGGAAAAAGAAAAAUAAAUCCAAGAUCCAAAAUCAUCUCAAAACACAAUGAUUAGUUACGGUCAUGACCGCCUCACUCGGGCGUCCCGAGGCCAGGCCGACCCUGGCUGGGCGGGACUCCCCUGAUGCACGUGCCUACGGGACAGGGACAGCGGGCAACGGCUCACAUUCACGCGUGGCCCCGUUAGCCCGGGCCGGAGGGUCUGGUGUGAGGACGACCACCUUAGCCCUCUGGGCGUUCUUUACGGCUGUCCUCCGCAUUCAGAGCCCAGAGCGCAACAACGCCAAUGCUAAUUGUACUUGAAGUUUCAUUAUUUGAUAAUCGGCUUUUAUUUCCAAGACACAACUUCAAAGCCAACCAAAGUGGCUUGUGCACAGAGACGUGUGCGUGUGUGCGCGCAGGGACCUCACAUGGUAUGAGUGAGGCCCUGAGUGCCUGUCUGAGAACCCCAGGACCACCUACAGGUGGACGCUUGGCGCGGCCUGAGCCCUGUAACCAGAGGGCGCCAGGGGGAUGGGCAGGAGGGUGUUGGUUCCGCGGCCACGACCCCCACGGUUCUGGUCCCAGCCACAGAAUGAAGAAACCUCCCGCCGGAGUGAUGAGUGAUGCCCAGUCGUGGGCACGCUUUGUCACAGGACUGUCCUCCGGAAGGCUGUCCAGCGGCCGUGGCCUGGGUAGGCGCCACAGCACCCGGUUACGCGGGAGGGUGGGAGCCCCUCUGCCGAAAUGCUGGCUGGGAGCCUGCCACGUGGUUAGUCACCCACGGCGGUGGGCCAAGCUCUUUGUGUCCCAGUGUCAACCCUUGUAACCGGGGAGGAAGCAGUGAUUCUCCGCGCUGGCGCCACGGUCAGAAGCCCCGGCCCAGCCCUCCCCGCGGGGCCUGCCCAGCAGGGACCCCAUCUGUGCAGAGUCCCGAGCUCCUGGCCAUCUCCCGUGCAUCCGGGGCUCCGAGCCACCGGACAGAUCAGCCGUAAUGGAGGCCUUCUCCUGGGCUGCGUCCUGUGUCCCUGUGCGGCUAACCUCGCUGUGACCAGCAGCCCGCCUCUAGAGAAAGCCACGGCAGCGGGCGGGCUGCUCUGGAGAGCGAGGGUGGCCGCGCCUUUCCCCGCGGUGGACAACCUCCCCCGCCCUGCGGCCCGUCUUCUCCAUGAGGUACGUCACGUGCGCUCGGCAGCCUCCUUCUGGAACGAUCCGUGGGGCUCGCGUGUGUGGUGCCAUGUUUCUCUGACUGGGCAUCGGGGCUGCCGGUCCCAGUCGGGAGGCGGUGCUGGGUCCGCAGCUUGGGGGUGCCGACAGCCCCCGUGUGGGGCCGUUCCUGAGGCAGUGCCCGGCCCUGACAAGAAAGCCGUUGGGUCCCCCGAGGAAGGAGCUGUCUCUCGCCGUCUUCUGCUAGGGAAGGACUUCAGGGCUCUCGAAGCUUGGAGACUGGUAAGCUCAGUAGGGUGUGUUAGAACAGGUGGGUGUGAUCUCCGCACCUCACUGUCCUCUCCAGGUGGAAACGCACUAGAGAAGGUAACAGGUUACUCCCAGGAGCCCUUCUGUCGCCCGGCUUCCCUCUGCUUCACACCCACGCGGCUCCUUGGAGGCGCCUGCCCAGCCCUGACCAUGGUGACCUCGCCUGGGAGCCGCACCCGAAGCCCCCGGGGCUGUUAGAGCUGUAUUUUGCAAGCUCGGGGCUUUCCCUAAUCCAAGAUUGCUGAACUGGUUCCAGGAGGGCUGAGCUUUCCCAAGGCUGUAAUCCCAGAUCAGGAACAGACAGCUUCUCAAAUUCCCGGCAGGUGGACCUUCCCAGAGAUUGGUGUCCGUUGUGUUGGGGGGUGGGAAUGGGGUGGCACGCAGGCCCUGGGGUUCCCGCCCAGAAAGACCACAGAGGGCAGUGGGCUCUCCUAGCCGAUGGGAGUAGGGGACAGCUAGGACGGGGAGGGGUGCUCUCGGGUCUGACCCUGACCUGCGGCAGCGCCUCCCCCUUGGAUCUUCCCAGUUUUCAGCAGAACGUCCUAAAAUGUCAUCGUGGGAGUCUUAGCAGGGACCUGUAGACUUCACACCUGGCUCUCAAUGAACGCAGCUCAACCAGAAAAUGAGGUUAUUUUCAAGUCGGUUAUAGACGUAGUUGUUUCUUUUCAGAGGGUUUUAUUUUUUAUGUGCGUGUAACGUGAACCCAAGUGAAACACGAGAGCAGCUGCCCUGGGGUUUCUAAAGGAGCCCGAGUUUCCUCUCAGGCCCGUGGAUGAGCGAGUAGCCACCCCGCAGGUGAGGAGGGACCGGCCGUGCCACGGGGCGACCCUGAGCCACAGCGAUCGGAGGGCCUCCCUUCUCUAGCCAGGUCACCUUGUCAUUAACCGUGAAUUCACUUGACGUUUUGUUUGUGAAAGCUGAUGUGUUUCCUCCGAGGGCACGUGCUCCCGGCUGUCUGCAGCCCAGCUGGAGUUUCCCUGUGGAACAGGACUUGCGCGAGGGCCUGGGUCCACACGGCCCCCGUGUCGUCUUGUAAGGUGGCGCUCAAGUCGGCUGCAGGGCGAUGAAGACCUUGACCCCCUCAGAUGGGAACGCGUACUCCGAGCCCAGUUCUGUCACUUUCUGGCACCAGUGCAGGCGGUUUGCCUCUCCCGGCUGACGUCAGAGUGACCAGCAGGAAGGAAGAGGGACAGCGGGGGUGCAGGCAGAUCCUGCUUUGUGACCUGUAGUCUCUGUCCUGAAGCCACAGCCAGAGACCGUCUGUCCUGCCGAUGGUCCGGAAGCACUUGGGGGCAGCACAUCCACCCGGCUGUGCCCCCCGCUCCAUCCAGGAAGUGACCCCUGCGGAAGCCCCCACAGCACCACCCGUCACGGUGCCCGGGGAAACAGGUCAGUGCCAGCCGUCGACAGGAAGCUCUCGGUCACUGGGAGCCUUCAGACCAGCCCGAGGUUCUCUGGGGCUCCCCGACUGGGCCACGCCGUCAGGGGGACGCCUGGGGGAGCCACACACCUUUCCCGGACCCGCUUGCAGCAGGUGGGUGGAGGUCUCGCCGGCUGGUCUGUGGGUGGCGGGUGGAGGCAUGGGGGGGACUUCCCGCGGACAGUCCGUGGCAGCUGUGGCCGUGUUCGCCAUCGUCUGUCCUGUUCGGGGUUGAGAUCUUAUUGGACUCUCAACCGAGCCCGCUUACAAAGAAAUUUAAAACGGCUCUCUGGAGGCUGUCCGUUUCUAGAACCUUCGCGAAUACCUUUGGACCUUGUUCAGAUUGGCAGGUUGUCCCGUGACACAGUACAGCGUUAUGUGGCCAGCCGCCCCAUGGUUGACCCUGUGCCCCGCAAGCGCCCUACCGGUGCCCCCCGCGCGGCCCCCUUAUUGCGGCCGCUCCCGCCGCUGAGCCAGCGCAGAGGACGCUGCAGGAGGCCGGGGCUGCCGUGACAUUCUCGCUGCAGCGUUCGCUUGAAGACACCAGCUCUGAGCCCUUCCGGGGUCGUUACACACUGAAGGAAGCCCCAGGAUGACAGCCACGGGCUCCGUCACGGGCACUUCCGUGAAAGGGCCACGCCGAGCCCACCCACGGAGGUCCUGGGACAGGCCUCCGUCUGUGAAGACGUGCACCGGGUUAAAAUCCUUACCGUGAGGUGUGAAAACGCCCUGUGCGGCUCCGGUGGUGGGCGUAGCACUUUCAGCGUAUGUGGCUUUUCUGAGUGCGUUCACGUUUGCCUUGAAUGACGUUUGUUUUCCUGGCAUGUUGCAACCGCCGCCCCCCCCCCCCCCCCCCCCCCCCCCCCCCGCCACCGCCAGCUCCUGCUGCCUGCGGCCGCCGCGUGUGACAUGUUUAGGAUGGAGGGGGCCGUGUGGCCGGGCAACCUGCAAUGCGUGUUUAGCGGGGCAUCCACAGGCCACCUGGGCCAAACUGUACUUUCCAGAACCCCGGGCCCCCUCAUGGUUGUGCUGUGGAUGAAGCGUGCCUGUCUCCUGCCCGUCCUUCGCCUCCGUAACCCCGGCCCGUCCCUGCUGGCCCUUCGUCCUGCGGGGUGCUGGCUCCCCUGGCAGGAACGCCUCAUACGGCCGGGGCUCCCCCCACGGCACACUGCCAUCUUCACCCCUGCCCUUCCACGGGCAGACUUGCUGCCUGGAUGGGAGCAUCAACCUUGACCCCAGAAAGCUUGGAAACAGGUACUGUGCAUUUAGGAACGGAGUCAGUUUGGUAAGUCGGAUUUUUAAACCCCGCCGGCAGGGAUAUUAUGAACGUAGAGGUUCCUCCAGGGCGUGUGUGUGGCCAAGGGGACCAGACCCUCCAGGCCUGCCCACGUGGGCGAGGGCCAGAGCCCCUCGGACACCCGGAGCCGUGUGCACCUGCCGCCCUCACGGCCGGGCGGGCCUCCUGCCUUCUAGCAGGAGGGCACGCCUCCUGGAUUCCAAGGGUGGGUGUCAGGUGGAACUCACCGUCUGCCCGCAAGGCCUUUUCUUCAUUCAGGUUGACAGCAUUUAUUUAUUUGAGAACGAUAAUGUGACACAGAAGUGGUUCAGAAAUUUGAACUACAUGGAAUUUUCCCCGUAUGGCACAGUUGUUCGGAGCCUCAGCACAGAGAUGCCUACGUUCAGGUUGUAUGUUUCCCCUUGGCUUCGGGGCUUUUAAAAAUAGGAAUGAUGGCACCCGGCUGGCUUAGUCGAGAACACCACUCUUGGGGGUUGGGAGUUCCAGGCCCAUGCUGGGCAAGGAGACUGCUUAAAUACAAAAUCUUAAAAAAAAAAAAAAAAUACAAACAGUGCCCAUCAAGCAGUUUAAUCUGGUUGUGACUGGAGCGGAUGUAAUCUGGACGAAUUUGGUGCCAUUGAGAGAGAGGGCUCCUGGGGACGGGGCCAUGGGCUGCAGGGCUCGGGACCCAUGACAAGCUGGUGCCGGACCGACAGAGGUCCACCUCCCGAGCCCUGCAGGGAGAAGCAGGAGCAGGGGAGGGCAGGCCCGAGAGCAGAGUGAACGAGAGGUAGCGCUGUGGGGCCUCUGCCUCCCGUCCCACUAGGGCUGCCGCGUGCCAGCCAGGACGCCACCGUCCCACCUUCAGUGAAGUGUCUCCAGUGGGGUGUUCAGGGGGAGCACCCAGGUCACUCCCAAGGGAUGUAGGUAGAACGUGGCUCAGGCCCGUGUCUCCCUCCCUGUAUUUUUCCUGCUUGCACACUUAGGCCAAGUGGACGGAGGAUGGUGUGUUCCUGCCUUUGACAUUAGGCCGCUCCUUUCUGCAGGCUCAGGACCCCACACGGUGCUCUCGCUCUCCUCCUGCGACCCCGUGCGUCCCAGCUCUGGCCACCCCCGGCUUCUGUGACUCGCCUGUCACAUGCAGCUCCCAGGAGCAUCCCCACGGGCGGGCCGAGGGACGAAGGCAGCAGGCCCACCAACGGGCCCCCGGUGGGAGGCCGCAUCCACGAGGAAAGGUCAUGAACAGUCCAGCUGACAGCUCUCUUACUCUGACCCGGUGUGGCGAGAACCAAGAGGUCAGCUUCUGUUGCUGCAAGUCUGAAGGUGGGAAAUCAAAGUGAUGUCGGCCUCAGACGGAAUCAAGCGCCCCGGGAGCCCUCUGCUUUGUCGGCCUGCUGUGGCGGCCGGUGAGCGUGUGCCCGCUUGUGCUGUGGGGGCCUCGAGCUGGUGAGCAACGCGCAGCUCCGUGGCCGGCCCCGCUGACCUCAGGCCAGUGAGACACCCCUUACCCAUACUCACAGACAUGGGGGAGCAGUGCCGUGAAGCGUGUCCGGGCACCCGGGAGGGAGCCGUGUCGGCCGUGGCCAGCCGAGGGAGGGGACAGCGCCCGAGAAGCAGGAGCAGUCAGCGUGGUAGGAGCCCCCGGGGACAGGUGAUGCACGGCCAUAAAAGGGUCCCGAUGGAGAUGCGUGGGCAGCAGCCCCGUGGAGUCCCUCACAUGGAACCCGGCCGAUGGUGUUUCCAGGGAAUUUGGUGGGCCCCCGGGGUCCCAGCAGAGGCGGGGUCACGGAUCCCCCUGAGACCAUGCCCGUGGCAGGCGUGUUGGCCCCGGCCGUGCGAGUUGAGGGUCGCCCUGGUCAUCACCAGGCGGGAUAGCUGGGGUUGGAUGGAACGCUAGUGACCCCAGGACCUUUCUUGGAAAUUGCUUUUUCAAACAGAGCCCUGACAGGUUUGUUUCCCUUUGUGUCUGUAGGCACUAGCGAGUUCAAACCUAAACCUGGGUCAUCCCGGCUCCUCCCGCAUCAGGGUGCUGCGUGAGCUGUGCUCCAGCUGACGCUCAGGGUCCGCCUUCUCUGCUGGGCUCUCUGAGGGCUGGACGUUUGCGCUUUCCCUGGACGUCCUUGAAUCCGGUUCCCUGUACCUGUGUAGCUGCCCCACUGUGAUCAGGAGUCUCCAGGCUUGGUUGGGCCUCUCCUGGCAGAGGUGACCUCUGAGGCCCGGCCCGGAAGGGUUUCCAGCUCCAGUUUGGGAGCUGCUUGGUGGGGCCCGGACCCUCCUGGCUUUCCCGGGGACGACUCACCCACCCAGGCGGCUGCCCAGACCUGCAGGGAGUCAGCCCAAUGUGCUGCAGCUGCUGACCCCCGCCCCGCCCCUUGGACUUACCUGUGUGCUCCUAGGAAAGAGCCAGAAUACAGAAGGUCUGCAGCCUUGCAGUCUCCCGCCGACCCCCAAGCCCAGGUCUCCGGAGGAGGGCAGCAUUCUUGCCAGGGUUGUCGAGAAUCGAGGAGGAUGGAGCUGUCACCCCCAUGGCACAUGCUGAGCCCCUGAGGCCCCCAGCUCCCCCAGUCCAUCGGUCUGGAGACAGACCUUUGGCAGAAGAUGGAAGGGACCCGGAAGCUAGGUCAUAUGCGGAGGAGGUGAUCCCAUCCCCCAUGGUCUUCUGGACCUUGCCACCACCCUUCAAAGGCCCAGGGGCCCCCUGCUAGUGAAGCCGGCACCGGCAGACAUGGGAGCACACGGAAGGAUUUCAGAUGCGGGAAGCAAAGUUUGACAGAAGUAAAUGGGGACAGUUGACCCCCCGGGGCAGCCGGCCCCCCACGGCCUCAACACUUGUUAGAACGAGUUGUCAACACCACAGGCCCCUUUUGUCAGAACACCAAGGGUGACAGCAGGCAGAGGUGGUGUCGGGGACACAGCGUGAAAGCCUGAGGACAGGAAAGCGGGCCUCCACGGCGCCGUCCACCUGCGCCAGCUCCUCCUCCGUCACCUCCCGCUCCAGGGCCCGGAUGCAGCGCUCCAGCCACCGUCCGUGCUCCCUGAUGGCGUCCACGGCGGGGCCGCACCCAGGCGGGCUGUCCGGGGCGGCCGGGGAGCCCAGCCCCUCCUCGGGCUCCGGCUCGGGGCCCGCGGAGAAGGUGUGGCUCCACGUGUCGGGGGUCAGGGGCUCCGACCCGCUGUCGCAGCUCAGGCCCGAGUCGGCGCUGCAGGGCGGAGUCUCGUCCGAGGCGGACGGCGCCCCUGCAUCCGCGUCGGGCCGCGACCCGGCUCGAGUCCAGGCGUAAAGUCUCUGCGAGGGAGAGACACGGGCUGGGUGUCCUGGGCCCCGUCCCUCACCUCGUCCGCGCGCUGCCGGCCCCGGCGCCCGCCAGGCUCCGUGUGGGGCCAGCUCCGGAGCAGUUAAAUUCUACCGAGUGUGCACUUGACCUCAGGCUGCCUUCACAACAAUAAAUACCCAAAACUCC